RNAcentral lists this ribosomal RNA (500 nucleotides) under uncultured bacterium. RNAcentral's name for it is "bacterial SSU rRNA". It matches the Rfam family "Bacterial small subunit ribosomal RNA", at positions 34 to 518 of the family's 1533-position model. The record is from RNAcentral.
CGCUGGCGGCGUGCUUAACACAUGCAAGUCGAACGGGCGGAGGUUGGAACUUAGCGUUUGGAGACAGAACGUUAAGCUCCGAUCUUCGUCAGUGGCGGACGGGUGAGUAACGCGUGAGUAAUCUGGCCAUAUCAGCGGAAUAACACACUGAAAGGUGUGCUAAUACGGCAUAAGCCGGUACCCUCGCAUGGGGGAGCCGGAAAAGGAGAAAUCCGGAUAUGGAUGAGCUCGCGUCCGAUUAGGUAGUUGGUGAGGUAACGGCCCACCAAGCCUGCGAUCGGUAGCCGGACUGAGAGGUUGAACGGCCACAUUGGGACUGAGACACGGCCCAGACUCCUACGGGAGGCAGCAGUGGGGAAUAUUGGGCAAUGGGGGAAACCCUGAACCCCAGCAACGCCGCGUGAAGGAAGAAGGUCUUCGGAUUGUAAACUUUUGUCGUGAGGGACGAUAAUGACGGUACCUCGCGAGGAAGCCACGGCUAACUACGUGCCAGCAGCUGC